GCUUCUCUCUUCACUCAGCGCCCCCCUCUCUGCCCCUCUGAUUCUCGCAGACAAGAGAAGAAGAAGAGUUAAUAAGCUUCUCACCAUCUCUCCAACCGCAACUGCUCUCUCUCUGCUAAAAUGGCUGGUAAACUCGGUAAGAAAGUGGGUUCUAAAUUAGGGAAACCACCAACCAAGAAGAAGCAGAAGAAGGAACCUUUGCCACCUAAGCCACUGGAAAAGGAGGAUCUUUUUAGUGACAGUGAAGGAACUGAUGGAGAUUUUGAAGAAGAUGGAGGUUCUGGUGAUGAAGAACAACAGGAAAUGAACUCAGAUUCUGACAUGUCUUCUGACUUGGAUGACCCCUUUGCUGCUGAUAUAUUAGCAAGCGGUGAUGCUGACGAUCGUUCCGAUGUUCAUUCCGAUUCGGAUGUAGAUUCUGAUUCAGAUGCAGAUGAUACUGAUCUUGUAAGGAAGUCAAAAGCUAUUGAUGAUGAAAGGAAAAGAGAGGAGGAGGAGGGUGAUUUGGAAUUGCAGCUCAAUAUUAAAGAAGAAGCUGAUGAGUUCAGAUUGCCAACAACGGAGGAGCUCGAAGAAGAAACAAAUAGACCCCCGGAUCUCUCUAAUCUCCAAAGGAGGAUAAAAGAAAUUGUUCGGGUGCUCUCAAAUUUCAAGUCAUUGAGGCAAGAAAAUGUGACACGUAAGGAUUACGUUGAUCAACUUAAAAGGGACUUGGGUUCAUAUUAUGGAUACAAUGAUUUUCUCAUUGAAUCGUUAGUGGAGCUGUUUCCCCCUGUUGAGUUGAUUGAACUUAUUGAAGCAUUUGAAAAGCCCCGGCCAAUUUCUCUGCGGACAAACACUUUAAAGACUCGCAGACGGGAUUUAGCAGGUGUUCUUCUUAACAGAGGUGUCAAUUUGGAUCCACUAAGCAAAUGGUCAAAGGUUGGGCUAGUUGUAUAUGAUUCUCAAGUUCCAGUUGGUGCCACUCCUGAGUAUAUGGCUGGUCACUACAUGCUCCAAAGUGCGAGUUCGUUUCUGCCUGUAAUGGCCCUUGCCCCUCAAGAGAAUGAACGUAUUGUUGAUAUGGCUGCUGCUCCUGGAGGCAAAACAACUUAUGUUGCUGCACUGAUGAAAAAUAGUGGUAUUAUUUAUGCAAAUGAGAUGAAGGAGUCGAGACUUAAAUCACUCACUGCUAACUUACAUCGCAUGGGGGUAACAAACACCAUUGUCUGUAACUAUGAUGGAAGAGAGCUACCUAAAGUCUUGGGUCAGAACACUGCCGAUAGAAUUUUGCUGGAUGCUCCCUGCAGUGGCACUGGGGUGAUUUCCAAGGAUGAGUCUGUUAAAACUUCCAAAACUGCUGCAGAUAUACAAAAUUGCUCACACCUGCAGAAGGAACUGAUACUUGCAGCAAUUGACAUGGUCGAUGCCAACUCAAAAUCGGGUGGAUACAUAGUGUAUUCUACCUGCUCCAUCAUGGUUGAUGAGAAUGAAGCAGUUAUAGAUUAUGCACUCAAGAAGAGAGAUGUUAAACUCGUGCCUUGUGGACUUGAUUUUGGCAGGCCCGGAUUUGUUCGCUUUAGGCAGCACCGUUUCCACACAUCGUUGGACAAGACACGGCGAUUCUAUCCUCAUGUGCACAACAUGGAUGGAUUCUUUGUGGCAAAGUUGAAAAAGAUGAGCAAUUCCAAGUCUGCUGCAAAAGCGUCAGCUCAGUCCGAAGAAAUAGAAGAUGCUGAUACCAUUGAGAGCAGUGACCAGCAGAAUGCUGAAGAGGAUGAUGACAAGCAUUCAGAGCAAGAAGGCAUUGCUAAAGAGAGCGGAAAAUUGAAUGAAAAAGCAGUAGCUGAUAAAAAAAGGAAGAGAGAUUUCCAAAAGCAUUCAGAUAAAAAAGGUGUUGGACAAAACGGUGGUGGAACUAAAAAUGGGAGGGCAGAAAACAAACCGGUGGCACCAAAAAGGAGGGAAAAGAAGAAACCCCCUCCUAUAGAAGAAAUCGCAAAAGCCAGGGAAGAGAAGAGGAAUGCUCUUAGGGAAGAAAAACGAAAAGCCACAUUGAAGAAAAAAUCUGGAAACAAGUGAGUUCUCUGUAACAUGCAGAUUAUAUUUUCUUAGAGGCGACAUGAAUGAACACAAAACUAAGAUAUAACUCGGGUAAUAUUAGCAGCUGCCAGCUAGAGGUAAUAUAUAUCUUGUCGUUAAUUGAUGACACUCCGAGAAAGGGUUGGAGAUCAUGUUUGAUUUGCUUUAGGAAAAAAAAACCAAAAACUAGGAUUUGUGGUUGCACGAAAAUCACGAAUCCAAAAUUUUGUAUCUGUAUUUGUUGAUGUUAUAUUUUUUCCUUUUGGAAGUGAGCAAUGAAAACUAAAAAGAGCAAAGUAGUUUGUUACAGUGCCAAUUACUAGGGUUGG
Molecule: unclassified non-coding RNA, 2390 nt
Filed under: Hevea brasiliensis (rubber tree)
Lineage: Eukaryota; Viridiplantae; Streptophyta; Magnoliopsida; Malpighiales; Euphorbiaceae
Source: RNAcentral